Molecule: unclassified non-coding RNA, 334 nt
Filed under: soil metagenome
Description: partial contains 5.8S ribosomal RNA, internal transcribed spacer 2, and large subunit ribosomal RNA
Rfam family: 5.8S ribosomal RNA (bases 1-120)
Source: RNAcentral
GAUGAAGAACGCAGCGAAAUGCGAUAAGUAAUGUGAAUUGCAGAAUUCAGUGAAUCAUCGAAUCUUUGAACGCACAUUGCGCCCCCCAGUAUUCUGGCGGGCAUGCCUGUUCGAGCGUCAUUUCAACCAUCAAGCCCUGCUUGUGUUGGGGUCCUGCGGCUGCCCGCAGGCCCUGAAAACCAGUGGCGGGCUCGCUAGUCACACCGAGCGCAGUAGCACAUCUCGCUCAGGGCGUGCGGCGGGCUCCAGCCGUUAAAGCACCCACCUUUCGCAAGGUUGACCUCGGAUCAGGUAGGAAUACCCGCUGAACUUAAGCAUAUCAAUAAGCGGAAGA